Non-coding RNA from Paramuricea clavata, 660 nucleotides. The record is from the annotation of a GenBank genome assembly. NCBI's taxonomy places the organism in Eukaryota, Metazoa, Cnidaria, Anthozoa, Malacalcyonacea, Plexauridae.
UAUUAUUUUAUGCUGUACACGUACUUAUAGGUUAGCAAUGAAGGACCAGAUCUGGUUCCAGAAGUGAAUAUAACCAUUGAAUGGCCGUAUCAAACAAAGAAUGGCAAACGCCUGUUGUAUCUUAUUAAUAUCACGGUUUGUGCAGAUUUCCAAUUUCAUUUUCAUCGUAUAUAUAUAUAUAUAUAUAUAUAUAUAUAUAUAUUGUAUUAAUAAUUGUUAUAAAUUAUUGUAACAAUAUCUCAAACAGAGCUUUCAGAAUUAUUUUGGGUAGGUGGCUCGGUGGCUGUGUUGAUAAGUAUAGACGGUUCUGGGGAGCAGUCUAGCCUGUGUUCCAGUCCACUACACCGUUCACACACAACGGUGUAGUGGACUGGAACACAGGCUAGGAGCGGUUUAGCGAAGUUAUCCAAAUGAACUAGACAUAUGUGUAUAUUGAUUAGAUAGAAACACACCUGAGUUCUGGAACCAAAUUACAAUGUAUCACUACUUUCAUUGUUCAACAAGAUAACUUCAAAAUAUAAGAUUGGAAAUAACUAAAUCAGGUCGUAUUUUUUUCUUGUUAUUCAUUUAGGGAGAUGAUAUUGAUUCAGGAAAAGCUACAUGUUUCCCUGAACCUGACUGGGUAAAUCCACUUGCUUCUCAGGUAACGUAUAACUUCAA